UCACCCAUUGGUUUCUGCAAAGUGAGAAUGAGGCUAGUAGGAGGCGUUCCCCCAGCGCCAUCUUGCCGGUGCUUACUCCUCCUCGUUCCUGGCUAACGAAUCAAUGGGCAAGGAGGAGGAGCGCGAGUGAAGACUGACAGCCGAGCGAUGCUCGCGGAGCUCAGCGUUUCCAGGUUAGCUCAGGGCUAAGGAGCUAGGCUACAUGCUACCCGACGCUGCUAACCGGUUAGCGCUGUGCUGUAGCUGGUCCGGCUGGUCGCGAUCUUUACGAACUCACUGGAGAGGGAAGUGGAGAGACUUGAUGUGGACUGUUAUCAACAGCUCUGUGGGAGAUUAUCACCUUGAAUAUUACAGAUGAGAUGAAGCACUGCAGCACCGGAUCUGUCCUCAGCAGCAACAUGGUGGAGAUCGGCAGCUUCAGGCUGGUCAACACGAGGACGACCUGCACAAGCUUCAACGGCCCAACACUUCACGUUUUCUCCCUCAACUAAAGAUGGCCUGCAACUGUUUAGAGUUGGCAAUCAUUGCUAUGUGUCAUGGAUAAUAGAUUUAAUUUCUAUCUUCAUUAUGGUUGGUUAAAAAAAUUAUUAUCUUUUACAAUCUGAUUUGAUACACUUUAGAUAAAAACCCAGUGCUUUAUUUUUCUAAUUCCCCAUAAGAGACACAACACCGUCAGCACAGCUGAGUCCUUCAGGCUAGAAAUGUACAGUACACAGUUCAUGCUAAAAUUGUAGUUGCCAUGUAACAAUCAAGUUGCUUGAUAACUCAGAAGUUAUUAAAACAUUUCUGUGUA
Molecule: long non-coding RNA, 793 nt
Organism: Pleuronectes platessa (European plaice)
Lineage: Eukaryota; Metazoa; Chordata; Actinopteri; Pleuronectiformes; Pleuronectidae
Exons: 3
Source: RefSeq, a predicted model, not a curated record